RNAcentral lists this ribosomal RNA (228 nucleotides) under uncultured bacterium. RNAcentral describes it as "partial 16S ribosomal RNA". It matches the Rfam family "Bacterial small subunit ribosomal RNA", at positions 568 to 795 of the family's 1533-position model. The record is from RNAcentral.
CAAGUAGGCGGAACAAUUAGUCAGGUGUUAAAGGCGUCGGCUCAACCGGCGUACGGCAUUUGAUACUGUUGUUCUAGAGUAAGGUGGGGGAAGACGGAAUUCCUGGUGUAGCGGUGGAAUGCGGAGAUAUCAGGAAGAACACCGGUGGCGAAGGCGGUCUUCUAUACCAUUACUGACGCUCAAUUGCGAAGGUGUGGGUAUCGAACAGGAUUAGAUACCGUGGUAGUC